Molecule: long non-coding RNA, 2832 nt
Filed under: Sus scrofa (pig)
Lineage: Eukaryota; Metazoa; Chordata; Mammalia; Artiodactyla; Suidae
Description: lncRNA (ENSSSCG00025034845.1)
Source: RNAcentral
CUGAGGCCUGGAGAUGUGGAGUCCUGGCUGGGAGGUGGGGACGGCAGGGAGUGGUUCCUGGCCCCACUUCUAACCUCAGGUCCAGGGAAUUGGGCGCCUGGGGCUUGGCAGGACAGCCCUGUGUUGCCUUGCUGGCAGUGCUCACCCUGACCUCUGGGCACCGCCUCCCUCAUCCAUCCUGAGUGGCCCCUGUGGCCCAGGGGUGGCCCUCAUGUGUCUUCUCAUGUGCCUUUGCGGUGUCUGGGACCCGUCAGGUGCUCCUGGUGCCCCGAGGUGGUAAUGCGGUGCCUGCCCAGUGCCCCGGUGCUGGGGACACAGCCCCGCCGGCUCCCGCUGCCCGGUGCCACCCCGGCUGCCCUCCUGUUCAGGCAGAUGGGGGGCGGGGGCGUCCUGCAGCCAGAGCACUUUCUGAAUGUGCCGCCUCUUUUCCAGCUGCAUCCUCAGGGCCCGGGGUGCACCCUGGACCCCAAGGGUCAGAACCAGGGUGUGGGUGUAACAGCAAAGGGUGACUUCUAGGGCGACUUCAUGCCUCUUCUACUCUGACCACGGAGCUGGCAGGUGCCUGAGAGGGUUCACCCGGGCUGCCGCCUUCCCAGUGGGCUGCGAUUUGCAAGCUCCCUCCUGGGGGUUGAUCCCGGGGCCUCUCCUGUACCCUGUGGAAGAGGCCUGGCUACCCGAGAGCCCCUGGCCACCAGGCCUUUGCACCCGAAGCCCUGUGUCAUGGGGUCACUGGGAGCCUGGCUCACGCUGGCACGAACAGUGGGUGAGGGAGGGUGGCCGGCUCUCGGGGAUCCCCCUGUUGGCACAGGUGGCAGUGGCUGCACUGGGCGACACGUGGUAGGGGAGCGCCACCCCACCCGAGAGCCAGUGCCCGGCGUGGCAGCUGUCUCUGUGCUCCAUGCAGAUGACGACAACCCGCCCGUGUCCUUCGUGAAGUUCUCUCCGAACGGCAAGUACAUCCUGGCCGCGACCUUGGACAACACGCUGAAGCUCUGGGACUACAGCAAAGGGAAGUGUCUGAAGACGUACACCGGCCACAAGAAUGAGAAGUACUGCAUAUUCGCGAAUUUCUCUGUCACUGGCGGGAAGUGGAUCGUGUCGGGCUCGGAGGACAACUUGGUUUACAUCUGGAACCUGCAGACGAAAGAGAUUGUGCAGAAGCUGCAGGGCCACACGGACGUGGUCAUCUCGACGGCCUGCCACCCCACAGAGAACAUCAUCGCCUCGGCCGCGCUGGAGAACGACAAGACCAUCAAGCUCUGGAAGAGCGACUGCUAGGCCCGCGGGCGCGGGGCUGUCGGGACGCCCAGCCGGGCUGGCGAGAGCUCGGUGCUCGAGGGGCUCCCUGGUCCAGGCCUGGGGACUGGAGGCGCCUGGGCCUGCGCCGCCUCCGAGGACGGCUUGGCCGAGGGCCGUGUCCCCCGCAGAGGUUCUCGGAGCUGCCGGUGGCGAUUCUUGCCAAUGCCUGUCUUGUUGGCUGGGGAAGAGUUAGAGUCUGUAUUGUGUUCGGAGGCCACAGAAAUUUCUAAUUUUUUAUUACAAAAGGUGAAGUUCAAUUUAUCACGAGUUGUGUUUUUUUCCAGUAACUGUUCUGUGCAUUUUAUCACCCAGUGCAAGUGCUGGACCAGUCGCCACCACGGUGUGUGGGCGCCAGCCUCGCCCACCCGGCCUCAGAGGGGCCCCCUCGUGGGUCCAGUGACCUCUCUGGGGACCCCCACCCGGUGUUGGUCCUGCCCGCACUCGCAAGCAGCGUGUCUGCAGCGUGUCUGCCCACGUGCCUUUGGCAUCGGGGCCGUUGUCCCCGUGCUGCCAGCGUGGGGGUCACCCUGGGCGCUUCUGUUUGUCCCUCUGGUGGUCACACGCAGGCAGCGCCCCAGCGGUGAUAAAGGUGGCAGCCUGGGCGAGUGGCCGCCGGGUUCUCACACAGAGCUUUGCUCGCUCUUUUGUGGAAAGCCUCGCGGUCGGCAGGAGGUUGAGAGGACGCCUCUCAAAAGACAGGUCCGAGGGAUGCGCCACUCCUUGUCCACACGGGCUCGAGGGCCCCUGCAGGCUGGUGGCCUGUGGAUGUGGGGGCGCAGGACGGAGGGGGCCCCGUGGCCGCUGUGGGUGCGGGUGAGGGUGGAGGAGGCGUGACCUGAGGGCGCAGCGGUGUCCACGCCCGCCGCCCACGCCAGGACGGGCUCCCCGCGGGGGCCUGGCGUCAGCCACCCACACAGUGGGCGCUGCCCCUAGCAGAGGGAGCGAGGGCGCUGGAGGCUUCUGGACGGACCGCAGAGCAGGGCCGUGGGGGACCCCUCUCUGCAGUGAGGCCACCCCGUAGUCCCAGGCCCACCUGCGGCUCCAAGACCGUAGCGGUGGAGGCUGCUUCGUAAGGAGCAUCCCCUGCCUGUGGCCGGGAGUCUGGCCCGUGCUCAGGCUCGGGGCUCAUCUCCCCUGGGGCCACUCCUGGGGCCCGAGUGCCCGGGUCCUGGCUCCAUCGCGCUGAGUGACAGUGUGCAGGUGGGGGCGUGAGGGCUGCUGUCACACAGAACAUGGGGAAACAAGCCACUUCCCGCCCUGCCCUUCAGAAGUAGGCGGACAGCGGGCUGGCUCUAGGGACGAAUAGCUCGGGUGAAAGGACACUGCAUUCCCUGGGCGACAGCCUGGGAGGCGCUGAGCUGCCGCGGCCGUGGUGUGGCCUCAGAUUUCCUUUGGUUCUGUUGGUUCUGGCGUUGGGCGCAGCCCGGGAGGAGGGCGUAUGUGCAGGGCCCUGUGUCCUGGAAUAUAGUUUAUUUUUUCUACAUUUGAAUUCUCUGUUGUAGAUUUAUGUAAAAAUACAUUCUCUUUUUGAAA